RNAcentral lists this ribosomal RNA (1202 nucleotides) under human gut metagenome. Its description in RNAcentral is "bacterial SSU rRNA". It matches the Rfam family "Bacterial small subunit ribosomal RNA", at positions 8 to 1196 of the family's 1533-position model. The record is from RNAcentral.
AGAGUUUGAUCCUGGCUCAGGAUAAACGCUGGCGGCGCACAUAAGACAUGCAAGUCGAACGGAAGUCGUUAUAAAAAGGAUUGAAGAUUUAUCUGAUUGAGAUUUAACUGGCUUUAGUGGCGGACUGGUGAGUAACGCGUGAGCAACCUGCCUACUAGAGGGGAAUAACAGUGAGAAAUCAUUGCUAAUACCGCAUAUGCCAUGAACAUCACAUGAUGAAAAUGGAAAAAGAGUAAUCUGCUAGUAGAUGGGCUCGCGUCUGAUUAGAUAGUUGGUGGGGUAACGGCCUACCAAGUCGACGAUCAGUAGCCGGACUGAGAGGUUGAACGGCCACAUUGGGACUGAGAUACGGCCCAGACUCCUACGGGAGGCAGCAGUCGGGAAUAUUGCGCAAUGGAGGAAACUCUGACGCAGUGACGCCGCGUAUAGGAAGAAGGUUUUCGGAUUGUAAACUAUUGUCGUUAGGGAAGAUAAAAGACAGUACCUAAGGAGGAAGCUCCGGCUAACUACGUGCCAGCAGCCGCGGUAAUACGUAGGGAGCAAGCGUUAUCCGGAUUUAUUGGGUGUAAAGGGUGCGUAGACGGGACAACAAGUUAGUUGUGAAAUCCCUCGGCUUAACUGAGGAACUGCAACUAAAACUAUUGUUCUUGAGUGUUGGAGAGGAAAGUGGAAUUCCUAGUGUAGCGGUGAAAUGCGUAGAUAUUAGGAGGAACACCGGUGGCGAAGGCGACUUUCUGGACAAUAACUGACGUUGAGGCACGAAAGUGUGGGGAGCAAACAGGAUUAGAUACCCUGGUAGUCCACACCGUAAACGAUGGAUACUAGGUGUAGGAAAUGAUUUCAUUUUCUGUGCCGUCGCAAACGCAAUAAGUAUCCCACCUGGGGAGUACGGCCGCAAGGUUGAAACUCAAAGGAAUUGACGGGGGCCCGCACAAGCAGUGGAGUAUGUGGUUUAAUUCGAAGCAACGCGAAGAACCUUACCAGGGCUUGACAUAUAGAUGAAUAACUAAGAGAUUAGUUAGUCCUUCGGGACAUCUAUACAGGUGGUGCAUGGUUGUCGUCAGCUCGUGUCGUGAGAUGUUGGGUUAAGUCCUGCAACGAGCGCAACCCCUGUGAUUAGUUGCCAACAGGUUAAGCUGGGAACUCUAAUCAGACUGCCGGUGAUAAAUCGGAGGAAGGUGGGGAUGACGUCAAAUCAUCAU